AAGGUACUCCAAUACAACUACUAGUACACUUGGUAUAAGUGCUUUUUUCGCAAAAAAAAAUAAGCCCCUAAAAUAAUUUAAGUCGAAAAAAAUAAUUUCUAUUCGGAUAAUUGUACAAGUACGUUUGUAGGAUUACUAUGAUUUUGCUUAAUUUGAGAUUAGAUAUUCAACAAAUAUCAUUAUAUUUUGCUAUAUGUGGGUGGUUUAAUUAAUCUGCAGGUGUGGCCACCACUUGGUUUGAAAAAGUUUGAGACUCUUUCGUACCUUCCCGAUCUCACUAGGGAACAACUCCUCAAGGAAGUCGAUUACCUUCUCCGAAUGAAAUGGAUUCCUUGCCUCGAAUUCGAGUUGGAGGUAAAUUCUCUAAACCUUCUUUAUUCAACUCGAUUGGACUAGAUAAAUAAUAAUUGACAUAUUUAGCCCUCCUUUGAUUCUGAUUUUUCAAGUCAAAAUUUUUUUACCGUUAUUUAUCAUAGUCAACUAUCGUUUUUGACUUCUUCAUCCAUGGGUGGGAUCCACAUUUUAAACUAACGGUCAAAAAAUCAAUUCUCAUAAUCGGCACCAAACGGACCCUUAUUUUGUAACAUUUCGUAUAUUCAUUGAUUGAUGUGAUCUAUUUGCAGCACGGGUUCGUGUACCGUGAGAACCACAGGUCUCCGGGAUAUUACGAUGGACGAUACUGGGUUAUGUGGAAGCUACCCAUGUAUGGAUGUACGGACCCAGUGCAGGUGUUGAAUGAGUUGGACUUGUGCGUCAAGGAAUACCCCAAUGCCUUUGUUAGGAUCAUUGGAUUCGACAACGUGCGUCAAGUGCAAUGCAUCAGUUUCAUUGCUUUCAAGCCACCAGGACGCGC
Molecule: long non-coding RNA, 853 nt
Filed under: Olea europaea (common olive)
Lineage: Eukaryota; Viridiplantae; Streptophyta; Magnoliopsida; Lamiales; Oleaceae
Description: long non-coding RNA (OEUR_LNC015116)
Source: RNAcentral